GUAGGUGAACCUGCGGAAGGAUCAUUAAAAAAAGGGUCACAAGACCCAUUUUAAAACCUACCACCACCUAUCAUUUGUGGCCUGUCUAUGGGUGAGAUGGAGGAGGUAUGGUUUUUUAAAAUCCAAUUAUUAUAAAUAUAUAUAUCGUCUAACGACGAAACAAAAAAAUUCUAAAAACUUUCAACAAUGGAUCUCUUGGCUCUCG
Molecule: unclassified non-coding RNA, 205 nt
Filed under: plant metagenome
Description: partial contains small subunit ribosomal RNA, internal transcribed spacer 1, and 5.8S ribosomal RNA
Source: RNAcentral